RNAcentral lists this ribosomal RNA (563 nucleotides) under uncultured bacterium. RNAcentral describes it as "bacterial SSU rRNA". It matches the Rfam family "Bacterial small subunit ribosomal RNA", at positions 338 to 916 of the family's 1533-position model. The record is from RNAcentral.
CCUACGGGAGGCAGCAGUGGGGAAUUUUCCGCAAUGGGCGAAAGCCUGACGGAGCAACGCCGCGUGAGGGAUGAAGGCCUCUGGGCUGUAAACCUCUUUUAUCAAGGAAGAAGAUCUGACGGUACUUGAUGAAUAAGCCACGGCUAAUUCCGUGCCAGCAGCCGCGGUAAUACGGGAGUGGCAAGCGUUAUCCGGAAUUAUUGGGCGUAAAGCGUCCGCAGGCGGUCUUGUAAGUCUGUCGUUAAAGCGUGGAGCUUAACUCCAUUUCGGCGGUGGAAACUACAAGACUAGAGUGUGGUAGGGGCGGAGGGAAUUCCCGGUGUAGCGGUGAAAUGCGUAGAUAUCGGGAAGAACACCAGUGGCGAAGGCGCUCUGCUGGGCCAUAACUGACGCUCAUGGACGAAAGCUAGGGGAGCGAAAGGGAUUAGAUACCCCUGUAGUCCUAGCCGUAAACGAUGAACACUAGGUGUCGGGGAAUCGACCCCCUCGGUGUCGUAGCUAACGCGUUAAGUGUUCCGCCUGGGGAGUACGCACGCAAGUGUGAAACUCAAAGGAAUUGACGG